RNAcentral lists this ribosomal RNA (491 nucleotides) under uncultured bacterium. RNAcentral's name for it is "partial 16S ribosomal RNA". It matches the Rfam family "Bacterial small subunit ribosomal RNA", at positions 29 to 506 of the family's 1533-position model. The record is from RNAcentral.
AGUGAACGCUGGCGGUAGGCCUAACACAUGCAAGUCGAACGGCAGCACAGUAAGAGCUUGCUCUUACGGGUGGCGAGUGGCGGACGGGUGAGGAAUACAUCGGAAUCUACUUUUUCGUGGGGGAUAACGUAGGGAAACUUACGCUAAUACCGCAUAUGACCUACGGGUGAAAGCAGGGGAUCUUCGGACCUUGCGCGAUUGAAUGAGCCGAUGUCGGAUUAGCUAGUUGGCGGGGUAAAGGCCCACCAAGGCGACGAUCCGUAGCUGGUCUGAGAGGAUGAUCAGCCAAACUUGAACUGAGACACGGUCCAAACUCCUACGGGAGGCAGCAGUGGGGAAUAUUGGACAAUGGGCGCAAGCCUGAUCCAGCCAUACCGCGUGGGUGAAGAAGGCCUUCGGGUUGUAAAGCCCUUUUGUUGGGAAAGAAAAGCAGCAGGUUAAUACCCCGCUGUUCUGACGGUACCCAAAGAAUAAGCACCGGCUAACUUCGU